RNAcentral lists this ribosomal RNA (492 nucleotides) under uncultured bacterium. RNAcentral describes it as "partial 16S ribosomal RNA". It matches the Rfam family "Bacterial small subunit ribosomal RNA", at positions 29 to 507 of the family's 1533-position model. The record is from RNAcentral.
AGUGAACGCUGGCGGUAGGCCUAACACAUGCAAGUCGAACGGCAGCACAGUAAGAGCUUGCUCUUACGGGUGGCGAGUGGCGGACGGGUGAGGAAUACAUCGGAAUCUACUUUUUCGUGGGGGAUAACGUAGGGAAACUUACGCUAAUACCGCAUACGACCUACGGGUGAAAGCAGGGGAUCUUCGGACCUUGCGCGAUUGAAUGAGCCGAUGUCGGAUUAGCUAGUUGGCGGGGUAAAGGCCCACCAAGGCGACGAUGCGUAGCUGGCCUGAGAGGAUGGGCGGCCACACUGGAACGGAGAAACGGUCCAGACCACUACGGGAGGAAGCAGUAGGGAAUCUUGCGGAAGGGGCGGAAGGCUGACGGAGCAAUGCCGCGGGAGUGAAGAAGGGCUUCGGAUUGUAAAACUCUGUUAUUAGGGAAGAAAAAAUGUGUAAGUAACUAUGCACGUCUUGACGGUACCUAAUCAGAAAGCCACGGCUAACUACGUG